CUACCCAUUUCUGCGGAAUAGCUCUGGGAAACUGGAAUUAAUACCGCAUACGCCCUACGGGGGAAAGAUUUAUCGGGGAUGGAUGAGCCCGCGUUGGAUUAGCUAGUUGGUGGGGUAAAGGCCUACCAAGGCGACGAUCCAUAGCUGGUCUGAGAGGAUGAUCAGCCACAUUGGGACUGAGACACGGCCCAAACUCCUACGGGAGGCAGCAGUGGGGAAUAUUGGACAAUGGGCGCAAGCCUGAUCCAGCCAUGCCGCGUGAGUGAUGAAGGCCUUAGGGUUGUAAAGCUCUUUCACCGGUGAAGAUAAUGACGGUAACCGGAGAAGAAGCCCCGGCUAACUUCGUGCCAGCAGCCGCGGUAAUACGAAGGGGGCUAGCGUUGUUCGGAAUUACUGGGCGUAAAGCGCACGUAGGCGGAUAUUUAAGUCAGGGGUGAAAUCCCAGAGCUCAACUCUGGAACUGCCUUUGAUACUGGGUAUCUUGAGUAUGGAAGAGGUAAGUGGAAUUGCGAGU
This 514-nucleotide ribosomal RNA is filed under the name uncultured bacterium. RNAcentral's name for it is "bacterial SSU rRNA". It matches the Rfam family "Bacterial small subunit ribosomal RNA", at positions 126 to 674 of the family's 1533-position model. The record is from RNAcentral.